AGUGAACGCUGGCGGUAGGCCUGACACAUGCAAGUCGAACGGCAGCACAGUAAGAGCUUGCUCUUACGGGUGGCGAGUGGCGGACGGGUGAGGAAUACAUCGGAAUCUACUUUUUCGUGGGGGAUAACGUAGGGAAACUUACGCUAAUACCGCAUACGACCUACGGGUGAAAGCAGGGGGUCUUCGGACCUUGCGCGAUUGAAUGAGCCGAUGUCGGAUUAGCUAGUUGGCGGGGUAAAGGCCCACCAAGGCGACGAUCCGUAGCUGGUCUGAGAGGAUGAUCAGCCACACUGGAACUGAGACACGGUCCAGACUCCUACGGGAGGCAGCAGUGGGGAAUAUCGGACAAUGGGCGCAAGCCUGAUCCAGCCAUACCGCGUGGGUGAAGAAGGCCUUCGGGUUGUAAAGCCCUUUUGUUGGGAAAGAAAAGCAGCAGGUUAAUACCCCGCUGUUCUGACGGUACCCAAAGAAUAAGCACCGGCUAACUUCGUG
This 492-nucleotide ribosomal RNA is filed under the name uncultured bacterium. RNAcentral's name for it is "partial 16S ribosomal RNA". It matches the Rfam family "Bacterial small subunit ribosomal RNA", at positions 29 to 507 of the family's 1533-position model. The record is from RNAcentral.